This 35-nucleotide ribosomal RNA is filed under the name uncultured Rickettsia sp. Its description in RNAcentral is "partial 23S ribosomal RNA". Lineage: Bacteria; Pseudomonadati; Pseudomonadota; Alphaproteobacteria; Rickettsiales; Rickettsiaceae. The record is from RNAcentral.
UAAUUCUAUAAGAAUAAACCUUUUUAUAAAUUUGC